GUUAAAGUGCCGAGGCCUUAGCGUGCCGAGGUGUUAGACUGCCGAGGCCUUAGUGUGCCGAGGUGUUAGAGUGCCGAGGCCUUAGCGUGCCGAGGCGUUAGAGUGUCGAGGCCUUAGCGUGCCGAGGCGUUAGUGUCGAGGCCUUAGCAUUUCGAGGCCUUAGACUGCCGAGGCCUUAGCGUGCCGAGGUGUUAGAGUGCCGAGGCGUUAGAGUGCCGAGGCAUUAGACUGCCGAGGCCUUAGCGUGCCGAGGUGUUAGAGUGCCGAGGCCUUAGCGUGCCGAGGUAUUAGCAUGCCGAGGCCUUAGCGUGCCGAAG
Long non-coding RNA from Oncorhynchus tshawytscha (Chinook salmon), 317 nucleotides. Lineage: Eukaryota; Metazoa; Chordata; Actinopteri; Salmoniformes; Salmonidae. The record is from Ensembl.